UACGUAGGGGGCAAGCGUUGUCCGGAUUUAUUGGGCGUAAAGAGCGUGUAGGCGGCCACACAGGUCAGCUGUGAAAACUCGAGGCUCAACCUCGAGAUGUCGGCGGAAACCGUCUGGCUAGAGUCCGGAAGAGGAGAGUGGAAUUCCUGGUGUAGCGGUGAAAUGCGCAGAUAUCAGGAAGAACACCUAUGGCGAAGGCAGCUCUCUGGGACGGUACUGACGCUGAGACGCGAAAGCGUGGGGAGCGAACAGG
Molecule: ribosomal RNA, 253 nt
Filed under: uncultured bacterium
Lineage: Bacteria
Description: partial 16S ribosomal RNA
Rfam family: Bacterial small subunit ribosomal RNA
Source: RNAcentral